ACUCCUGCGGGAGGCAGCAGUGGGGAAUUUUGGACAAUGGGGGCAACCCUGAUCCAGCAAUGCCGCGUGAGUGAAGAAGGCCUUCGGGUUGUAAAGCUCUUUUGUCAGGGAAGAAACGGUGGUGGCGAAUAACUACUACUAAUGACGGUACCUGAAGAAUAAGCACCGGCUAACUACGUGCCAGCAGCCGCGGUAAUACGUAGGGUGCAAGCGUUAAUCGGAAUUACUGGGCGUAAAGCGUGCGCAGGCGGUUGUGUAAGUCAGAUGUGAAAUCCCCGGGCUCAACCUGGGAAUUGCAUUUGAGACUGCACGGCUAGAGUGUGUCAGAGGGGGGUAGAAUUCCACGUGUAGCAGUGAAAUGCGUAGAUAUGUGGAGGAAUACCGAUGGCGAAGGCAGCCCCCUGGGAUAACACUGACGCUCAUGCACGAAAGCGUGGGGAGCAAACAGGAUUAGAAACCCGAGUAGUCCCAUGA
RNAcentral lists this ribosomal RNA (474 nucleotides) under uncultured organism. Its description in RNAcentral is "partial 16S ribosomal RNA". It matches the Rfam family "Bacterial small subunit ribosomal RNA", at positions 335 to 800 of the family's 1533-position model. The record is from RNAcentral.